GUGUCAGCAGCCGCGGUAAGACGGAGGGUGCUAGCGUUGUUCGGAAUCACUGGGCGUAAAGGGCGCGUAGGCGGCCAGGCAAGUCGGCUUGUGAAAGCCCGGGGCUCAACCCCGGAGGUGCGGCCGGGACUGCUUGGCUGGAGGCCGGAAGAGGAGGGUGGAAUACCCAGUGUAGAGGUGAAAUUCGUAGAUAUUGGGUGGAACACCGGUGGCGAAAGCGGCUCUCUGGUCCGGUCCUGACGCUGAGGCGCGAAAGCGUGGGGAGCAAACAGGAUUAGAAACCCCCGUAGUCC
RNAcentral lists this ribosomal RNA (293 nucleotides) under uncultured bacterium. RNAcentral describes it as "partial 16S ribosomal RNA". It matches the Rfam family "Bacterial small subunit ribosomal RNA", at positions 505 to 796 of the family's 1533-position model. The record is from RNAcentral.